This 492-nucleotide ribosomal RNA is filed under the name uncultured bacterium. RNAcentral describes it as "partial 16S ribosomal RNA". It matches the Rfam family "Bacterial small subunit ribosomal RNA", at positions 29 to 507 of the family's 1533-position model. The record is from RNAcentral.
AGUGAACGCUGGCGGUAGGCCUAACACAUGCCAGUCGAACGGCAGCACAGUAAGAGCUUGCUCUUACGGGUGGCGAGUGGCGGACGGGUGAGGAAUACAUCGGAAUCUACUUUUUCGUGGGUGAUAACGUAGGGAAACUUACGCUAAUACCGCAUACGACCUACGGGUGAAAGCAGAGGAUCUUCGGACCUUGCCCGAUUCAAUGAGCCGAUGUCGGAUUAGCUAGUUGGCGGGGUAAAGGCCCACCAAGGCGACGAUCCGUAGCUGGUCUGAGAGGAUGAUCAGCCACACUGGAACUGAGACACGGUCCAGACUCCUACGGGAGGCAGCAGUGGGGAAUAUUGGACAAUGGGCGCAAGCCUGAUCCAGCAAUACCGCGUGGGUGAAGAAGGUCUUCGGGUUGUAAAGCCCUUUUGUUGGGAAAGAAAAGCAGCAGGUUAAUACCCCGCUGUUCUGACGGUACCCAAAGAAUAAGCACCGGCUAACUUCGUG